RNAcentral lists this small nuclear RNA (23 nucleotides) under Arabidopsis thaliana (thale cress). Its description in RNAcentral is "snRNA_11550". The record is from RNAcentral. Lineage: Eukaryota; Viridiplantae; Streptophyta; Magnoliopsida; Brassicales; Brassicaceae.
AGGCGAGAGAGACUGUAAGGCUG